RNAcentral lists this non-coding RNA (29 nucleotides) under Mus musculus (house mouse). Lineage: Eukaryota; Metazoa; Chordata; Mammalia; Rodentia; Muridae. The record is from RNAcentral.
CAGCAAUUAUGAACCUGCAGAAGUGAUAA